Triplophysa dalaica is the source of this 1195-nucleotide long non-coding RNA. RefSeq lists it as uncharacterized. The record is from RefSeq and is a predicted model, not a curated record. The transcript has 6 exons. Lineage: Eukaryota; Metazoa; Chordata; Actinopteri; Cypriniformes; Nemacheilidae.
AGAUUCACCGACAACACAUUUAUGUUAUAAAAAGCAGACGUUCUGAAUAAAGGGACUCUGAAGAUGCCACCAGCUGCUGUCUUCAUCAGGAAUAUUAAGUGCCUUUCAUUUCUCCAGAAUACAUUAGAAGCGAGAAGAAAGCCGGAAAGGGCUGCUUGCCUCUUUCGUGGGCUUUGUAUAGAGCACUAGAGAAAAGUGGAGAGAAAGAAAGAGAGAGCGAGAGAGCAUCUGAGUAAGCAUCACUCCAAGACUGAAUCACAGGAUGGAAAUGCCAUCAGUGGGCAAAGAGCAGCGCGGCAGGGGGCCUGAACGUUUCCUUCCAAAGCCUUCGAAUGACCUGGAUAUGCUGUGAAGUGGAGUGAGAGACACAGCUUUUGACAGAUGGUGAAGAAAAAAUAAUGCUGAAGAACUUCUCUCAGGGUUAUCUUGAGGCCUUUAUUUUAAACUGACUACAGCCACCGUGUAUUAUCUAAAGAAGACCUUGUCCAUAUGAUGUGUGCUCUGCACCUCCAGCCCUGAGGGAUGAUGGAGAGUCGAAAGGUGAAAGGGAUGCCUGGGAAAGCACCAGCUGUGUGGAACGCUUCAUUACCCAGCUAUCUGCAGGCCUGUGACCCUAACGCCAGCCGCCCUCAGCAACUCUCAACACAGCAAACCUACCCUGACCCCGGCAAACCCUGUGCAAACUCCCGCCCUACCCCAGUUGAUCCUGCCAGCCUCUAAUUUUAUAGACAUAUAGAUUCUUGCACGGGUGGGUGACUCCUUUUCUAUUGUAAUUCAGUCUUAACAACGUGACCGCAGACGUACGUAAUUAAGAUGAAAACAAAGUGACAGUUUUCCUCUUUUGGAGAUGUCAGGAGUGAGUUGGUGAAAGACUUUUGGAAAAUAAGUUUUUCUACAACCCAAAAGUUAAGAUUAUGUCAUUAUUUACUCACCCUCUUGUCAUUUCAAACCUGUUUGACUCUCUUUCUUCUACAAAACACAAAAAAAUAUUUUGAAGAAUCUGUCACUUAUGUUUGUACAUACUGUUGUAUUGUAAUGUAGUGAACAAAAUAUUAAACCAAGUUUGCAGAUGCCACUAUUUUUGCGCUGGAAUAACAAGGAUUUGUCAGCAUUCAUUUUGUUUUGAGAUGUUGAGCUUCAAUGGUUUUGCAUUCCAUUUGACUUUGUAGAUAAAACUUUUUUGUUUUCUUAAAAC